CCUACGGGUGGCUGCAGUGGGGAAUAUUGGACAAUGGGCGAAAGCCUGAUCCAGCCAUGCCGCGUGUGUGAAGAAGGCCUUCGGGUUGUAAAGCACUUUCAGUGGGGAAGAAAGCCUUGGGGCUAAUACCCUCGAGGAAGGACAUCACCCACAGAAGAAGCACCGGCUAACUCCGUGCCAGCAGCCGCGGUAAUACGGAGGGUGCGAGCGUUAAUCGGAAUUACUGGGCGUAAAGCGCGCGUAGGCGGUCUGAUAAGCCUGUUGUGAAAGCCCCGGGCUCAACCUGGGAACGGCAUCCGGAACUGUCAGGCUAGAGUGCAGGAGAGGAAAGUAGAAUUCCCGGUGUAGCGGUGAAAUGCGUAGAGAUCGGGAGGAAUACCAGUGGCGAAGGCGGCCUUCUGGACUGACACUGACGCUGAGGUGCGAAAGCGUGGGUAGCAAACAGGAUUAGAUACCCCAGUAGUC
RNAcentral lists this ribosomal RNA (465 nucleotides) under Vreelandella stevensii. RNAcentral describes it as "partial 16S ribosomal RNA". It matches the Rfam family "Bacterial small subunit ribosomal RNA", at positions 338 to 795 of the family's 1533-position model. Lineage: Bacteria; Pseudomonadati; Pseudomonadota; Gammaproteobacteria; Oceanospirillales; Halomonadaceae. The record is from RNAcentral.